RNAcentral lists this long non-coding RNA (988 nucleotides) under Triticum aestivum (bread wheat). Its description in RNAcentral is "long non-coding RNA (TAES_LNC001855)". The record is from RNAcentral. Lineage: Eukaryota; Viridiplantae; Streptophyta; Magnoliopsida; Poales; Poaceae.
UGCUGCUCUAUGCCUCAUUCGUGUACAGAUUCCCCAGCAGUAUUUUUUCGUCUGCCACUUGCGACUGCCGGGUUCCUGAUGUGCUUCUCAUGCCCCGCAGACCAUUGACCUGUACGUGGUUUUCGACGUGGCCACUGCCCUACUUCAGGUAAAAUUUCACACUUUGAUGAGGAUUCAUGAGCCCCGAUUUGGGAUAGACAAGUGUAGCAUACUGAGUUCAGGAAAUCAAUUAUGCGGCACGGCACCUAUUAGGUGAUUUGUGAACACACAACCAGGAUGAUUCCUAUCCUACCUAUGCUGUGCUUAUUGCUUCCAAGCUAGUGAUGGCGGUCGCAGGUGCAGUACCUGCUGGUUGUUACUAUCGCUGGCAGUUAGUGUUCAACAUCUAUCGCUUUAGCACCAAGCGACUAAACAAUGUUUUGGUAAAGCUUUCAGAAAUCAGUUUGCAGUGUUGAAUCAGUACACAUCUUUUACCUUCAAUUUGGUAGUAUGAAAAACACAUUAGUAAAUCUGAGUAACUUUGACAUAUUUUCUCUAUUAACUUGCACUGGAUUGGUACUCGUGAUUGCCUUGUACUUAAUUCUUCUAACACUGAUCUUGUUACUAUUAAUUUGUUAUUGCCAUGGUGUUUAUGCUAUUUAGAAUAAGAUCCAUGCAUCAAUUCUAAGUUCUCGUCUCUUUGAAGGGACACUUCUAGCUUCUAUGACUCAGACUUGUUAACUAUUGUUUCUUACUUUGUUAGCUACGACAUAUAUUUCCCCCAGUUAUUCCAAUUCUUCACUGAUUCAUGUAACAGGAUGACAGUGGAAGCCAUGUUGUUGUUUUGUUUGUUCCCAGCCCUAACUAUGGUCGUCGAGCGAGUCCGGCAUGUUGUUCAUCUAGUAGAGCUUGUUAGGAGUCUGAAUCUAAGAACUUGUAGAGCUUGUUAGUAUUACAAUUGUAGAGCUUGUUACACUUGUAGAGCUUGUAAAGCAGUGUGGUCUUCUGU